CAAACGGCUGGGAUGAAGAGAGUACGGAUUUGCGUCAGUCCAGAGAGUCGGUGGUUGGUGUGAACCGAUCUGAACAGAUACCGGAAGUACACUUCGGAGCCGCAUGGUGAACUCCUAAGGGAUAUUAGCCAUUGCCGGAAGCGUCUCGUACGUUUUCGUUAUUUCAAUGAAGUGAAGGCAUUCGUGCCUUUAUUAGGGUGGUACCGCGAGUAUGUCUCGUCCCUUGU
Molecule: non-coding RNA, 227 nt
Filed under: Paenalicyclobacillus ferrooxydans
Lineage: Bacteria; Bacillati; Bacillota; Bacilli; Caryophanales; Alicyclobacillaceae
Description: Alicyclobacillus ferrooxydans T-box sequence
Rfam family: T-box leader
About the family: Uncharged tRNA acts as the effector for transcription antitermination of genes in the T-box leader family. T-boxes are found upstream of many aminoacyl-tRNA synthetase genes and some amino acid biosynthetic genes usually in Gram-positive bacteria.
Source: RNAcentral